RNAcentral lists this ribosomal RNA (354 nucleotides) under Triticum aestivum (bread wheat). Its description in RNAcentral is "partial small subunit ribosomal RNA". The record is from RNAcentral. Lineage: Eukaryota; Viridiplantae; Streptophyta; Magnoliopsida; Poales; Poaceae.
AUGGAGUCAGGAAUAUCUCGUUCUUGGAAAAUUGUUUCAUCGGAGUUGGCAACUGCAAGUCUGCAACAUCAGAUGAUACACGGAAGGAGGAAGAAAGAAGGCCACGAUGUCUGGUGCUUCCCUGUGAUCCCUUGGGCCCAUGGUGCAGUUCCUGACGUGAUUGCGGCCACACCGGACUUCAGCUCUGUGUUCCACGUCGUGGUUCCCGGCGGCGCUCGGGCCUGGCUCGACUGUCCGCUCGUCGCGCCGUGGAAUGUUGAGUUCACGGACGGCAAAGAUUUUCUCUGCAUUUGUGGCACCAACAGUGGUCUCCGAAUUACGACUCCUACAUGUGUGGAUGUAUCUUGUCCUUAA